UCUCAAGCAUAAUAAGGGCAUUUGGUGGAUGCCUUGGCGUUAAGAGGCGAUGAAAGACGUGGCACUCUGCGAUAAGCUACGGUGAGCCGAGAGCAGGCUUUGACCCGUAGAUUUCUGAAUGGGGAAACCCCGCCCAAUAGGGUGAUCAUAACGUGAAUACAUAGCGUUAUGAGGCGAACCCGGGGAACUGAAACAUCUCAGUACCCGGAGGAAAGGACAUCAACAGAGACUCUGCUAGUAGCGGCGAGCGAACGCGGACCAGGCCAGUGGCCUGUAUGUAAGAACCGGAACAAUCUGGAAAGGUUGGCCAAAGUGGGUGAUAGCCCCGUACGGGUAGAAAGCAUACAGGUCCUCGAGUAGGGCGGGACACGUGAAAUCCUGUCUGAACAUGGGGGGACCACCCUCCAAGCCUAAGUACUCCUUAACGACCGAUAGUGUACCAGUACCGUGAGGGAAAGGUGAAAAGCACCCCGAUAAGGGGAGUGAAAUAGUUCCUGAAACCGGAUGCCUACAAGCAGUUGGAGCCUCUUUAUGGGGUGACAGCGUACCUCUUGCAUAAUGGGUCAGCGAGUUAGUCUUACAAGCGAGCUUAAGCCGUUAGGUGUAGGCGCAGCGAAAGCGAGUCUGAAUAGGGCGAUUGAGUUUGUGGGAUUAGACCCGAAACCAGGUGAUCUAGCCAUGAGCAGGUUGAAGGUGAUGUAACAGUCACUGGAGGACCGAACCCACGUCUGUUGAAAAAGACGGGGAUGACUUGUGGUUAGGGGUGAAAGGCCAAUCAAACCUGGAGAUAGCUGGUUCUCCGCGAAAUCUAUUUAGGUAGAGCGUCAGACGAAUACCAUCGGGGGUAGAGCACUGAAUGGGCUAGGGGGCCUUACCGGCUUACCAAACCUAAUCAAACUCCGAAUACCGAUGAGUACUAUCUGGCAGACAGACUACGGGUGCUAAGGUCCGUGGUCGAGAGGGAAACAGCCCAGACCGCCAGUUAAGGUCCCAAAGUUGUGGCUAAGUGGGAAAGGAUGUAGGACGGCCAAGACAACCAGGACGUUGGCUUAGAAGCAGCCAUCGUUUAAAGAAAGCGUAACAGCUCACUGGUCUAAAUAAGCUGUCCCGCGCCGAAGAUGUACCGGGGCUCAAGCCACACACCGAAACUGCGGAUUUGUUCUUUUAGAACAAGUGGUAGCGGAGCGUUCCGUAAGCCUGUGAAGGUGUACCGUAAGGUAUGCUGGAGGUAUCGGAAGCGAGAAUGCUGACAUGAGUAGCGACAAAGGGAGUGAGAACCUCCCUCGCCGAAAGCCCAAGGGUUCCUGCGCAAGGCCAAUCCGCGCAGGGUGAGUCGGCCCCUAAGACGAGGCGGAAACGCGUAGUCGAUGGGAAACAGGUUAAUAUUCCUGUACCCGUGAGAAGUGACGGCCUCUGGAAGUAGUUUUUCCUUAUUGGAUUGGAGAAGCUGCCAAGGAGGUCCAGGAAAUAACUCUCACAUAUGGACCGUACCCGAAACCGACACAGGUGGGCAGGUUGAAUAUACCAAGGCGCUUGAGAGAACGAUGUUGAAGGAACUCGGCAAAUUGCCCCCGUAACUUCGGGAGAAGGGGGCCCACCGUGAAGGCAACUUUACGGUGGGGGCACAGACCAGGGGGUGGCGACUGUUUACUAAAAACACAGGGCUCUGCGAAGUCGCAAGACGACGUAUAGGGUCUGACGCCUGCCCGGUGCCGGAAGGUUAAGAGGAGAUGUGCAAGCAUUGAAUUGAAGCCCCGGUAAAUGGCGGCCGUAACUAUAACGGUCCUAAGGUAGCGAAAUUCCUUGUCGGGUAAGUUC
Molecule: ribosomal RNA, 1818 nt
Filed under: Thalassospira xiamenensis
Lineage: Bacteria; Pseudomonadati; Pseudomonadota; Alphaproteobacteria; Rhodospirillales; Thalassospiraceae
Description: bacterial LSU rRNA
Rfam family: Bacterial large subunit ribosomal RNA
Source: RNAcentral